CUGGGGUCAGAAGUCAGAAGAUUGUUUCAAGGUUCCUGAAUAAACUGCUUAGAGAAGAGCCUGGUGUUGCAUCUUCCUUGCUGUUCGAGGUGGCGCAUACGGGACCGUUUACCUCCCCUGUCUCUUGAAGGCUCAGAACUCUUCACGGUCAGGACAGUGCACUGAUCUUAGAUUCUUGAUUCUACCGAUAUUCAUCAUCUAGAACCAUAUGUAUGGAGCUUGGGAGAGGUGAUAGCUUGGUCUCAGAGACAGGUCUGAAUAAUAUCAAGACAGACCAUCCAGGGGGAAGAUGUAAGCUGAAAGGAGAAGACAGAAGGGAACCAGCUAAAGAUUCCUGCUGUCAGUGGCCAGAGGUUAAACAGAAGUUGCUCAUAUGUAAUAAAUGGUUCAGGAGACAUAGCAGAAGAUGAUGUGGGGAUCUUGUAAGAGUCAGAAGACCAGGAGAGCUGCUGUGAGAAUGUGUCUCCAAGAAAUGAAAGAGAAGCUUCACUCAUGAUACCUAAACAAUAUGGCUGCUAAAACAAGACCUGAACAAGGAUACUACCAAUAGACAUGGUAGCAUGGAAGAGGGAAAAUCUCACAGGGCCCCACCCCUGGACAAAGAACGACAGUUCACAUAUGCUUACUGAUGCCAGGAGAAGAUGAAGGAGAGCUUUUCUUCCAGUAGGAAGGACUUGGCAGUGGAACCUCACAGACUGCAGUAUCCACAGACUGCAAACUCUACCAUUCUUACACUCAGAGUGGUCCACAUGUUCUGAGUGCAUCCUAGACCUUUUAUGCAUGAUGAAUACAGAACAAUUUGAUUGUAUUUAUUCUCCACAAUAAAGAAUGAGGUGGACUCAU
Molecule: long non-coding RNA, 843 nt
Organism: Peromyscus leucopus (white-footed mouse)
Lineage: Eukaryota; Metazoa; Chordata; Mammalia; Rodentia; Cricetidae
Exons: 4
Source: RefSeq, a predicted model, not a curated record